RNAcentral lists this ribosomal RNA (253 nucleotides) under uncultured bacterium. RNAcentral's name for it is "partial 16S ribosomal RNA". It matches the Rfam family "Bacterial small subunit ribosomal RNA", at positions 524 to 776 of the family's 1533-position model. The record is from RNAcentral.
UACGUAGGGGGCAAGCGUUAUCCGGAUUUACUGGGUGUAAAGGGAGCGUAGACGGCAUGGCAAGUCUGAUGUGAAAACCCGGGGCUCAACCCCGGGACUGCAUUGGAAACUGUCAGGCUAGAGUGUCGGAGAGGCAAGUGGAAUUCCUAGUGUAGCGGUGAAAUGCGUAGAUAUUAGGAGGAACACCAGUGGCGAAGGCGGCUUGCUGGACGAUGACUGACGUUGAGGCUCGAAAGCGUGGGGAGCAAACAGG